Molecule: ribosomal RNA, 460 nt
Filed under: uncultured bacterium
Lineage: Bacteria
Description: partial 16S ribosomal RNA
Rfam family: Bacterial small subunit ribosomal RNA
Source: RNAcentral
ACUACGGGGGGCAGCAGUGAGGAAUAUUGGUCAAUGGGCGAGAGCCUGAACCAGCCAAGUCGCGUGAAGGAUGACGGCCCUACGGGUUGUAAACUUCUUUUGUCAGGGAGCAAUUGAGUCCACGUGUGGGCUUAGCGAGAGUACCUGAAGUAAAAGCAUCGGCUAACUCCGUGCCAGCAGCAGCGGUAAUACGGGGGAUGCGAGCGUUAUCCGGAUUUAGUGGGGUAAAAGGGUGCGCAGGGGGUCAGUUAGGUCAGCGGUAAAAGCCCGGGGGUAACCCCCGGCCCGCCGUUGAAACUGGCAGUCUCGAGUUGGAGAGAAGUAUGCGGAAUGCGCGGUGUAGCGGUGAAAUGCAUAGAUAUCGCGCAGAACUCCGAUUGCGAAGGCAGCAUGCCGGCUCCACACUGACGCUGAGGCACGAAAGCGUGGGUAUCGAACAGGAUUAGAUACCCCUGUAGUC